RNAcentral lists this transfer RNA (77 nucleotides) under Flavobacteriaceae bacterium. RNAcentral describes it as "tRNA-Asp". It matches the Rfam family "tRNA". Rfam says of the family: Transfer RNA (tRNA) molecules are approximately 80 nucleotides in length. Their secondary structure includes four short double-helical elements and three loops (D, anti-codon, and T loops). The record is from RNAcentral. Lineage: Bacteria; Pseudomonadati; Bacteroidota; Flavobacteriia; Flavobacteriales; Flavobacteriaceae.
GGUUUGGUAGUUCAGUUGGUUAGAAUAUCUGCCUGUCACGCAGGGGGUCGCGGGUUCGAGUCCCGUCCAGACCGCAA